AUUGAACGCUGGCGGCAUGCCUUACACAUGCAAGUCGAACGGCAGCACGGGUGCUUGCACCUGGUAGCGAGUGGCGAACGGGUGAGUAAUACAUCGGAACAUGUCCUGUAGUGGGGGAUAGCCCGGCGAAAGCCGGAUUAAUACCGCAUACGAUCUACGGAUGAAAGCGGGGGACCUUCGGGCCUCGCGCUAUAGGGUUGGCCGAUGGCUGAUUAGCUAGUUGGUGGGGUAAAGGCCUACCAAGGCGACGAUCAGCAGCUGGUCUGAGAGGACGACCAGCCACACUGGGACUGAGACACGGCCCAGACUCCUACGGGAGGCAGCAGUGGGGAAUUUUGGACAAUGGGCGAAAGCCUGAUCCAGCAAUGCCGCGUGUGUGAAGAAGGCCUUCGGGUUGUAAAGCACUUUUGUCCGGAAAGAAAUCCUUGGCCCUAAUACGGUCGGGGGAUGACGGUACCGGAAGAAUAAGCACCGGCUAACUACGUG
This 486-nucleotide ribosomal RNA is filed under the name uncultured bacterium. RNAcentral describes it as "partial 16S ribosomal RNA". It matches the Rfam family "Bacterial small subunit ribosomal RNA", at positions 30 to 507 of the family's 1533-position model. The record is from RNAcentral.